Molecule: RNA transcript, 1396 nt
Organism: Oenanthe melanoleuca
Lineage: Eukaryota; Metazoa; Chordata; Aves; Passeriformes; Muscicapidae
Gene name: ankyrin repeat domain-containing protein 26-like
Exons: 5
Source: RefSeq, a predicted model, not a curated record
UUGGCUUGGCUUGGUAUUUUGCUUUGCUGCUGCUCGCUUUUCCCCCUUCCCUUUUUUUUUGCUUUGCUUUAUUUUUCCUUAUUAGCUAGAAAUACCACUGAAUAUCAAGAAAUCCCCAGACGUCUGUUUGUGACAAGAAAUACGUGUUUUCUGCCCUCCCCAGCAUCGGCUGCAUCCACUCGGACGGGUGAAGUUUUUCUGCGUCACCUGUGGCUGUUUUUUUUUUUUCUCGUGUUGGAAAGUGUUUUUCUGUGUGUUUUGCUAAAUAAACAAGUUUUUUCCACUUUACCUCUGAAGAAAUUCUUCCCGAACCCAUUGGUAGAAGGGGAGGAGUUUUGGGGGUUUGUUUUUAAAAAGCUCCGUUAAAAAUUUUCCCCUAAUUUGUCCUAAACUGGGACACCACCAAUUUUUCGUGUUUUACUUUGGGUAUCUGAUUCUGUGUGUUAGAUCUGCACUUGUGUCUGUGCUAAAGGGCAGUGGGAGAAGGCGUAUGGUUGGGCAGGAGUGCUCAUAUGGUGUUUGAUGUGCUAGCAGGUCUCUGAAUCAAAAGCUCGCCCAAGGUAGGUUUCCAUUUUGCAGUGCUUGGGGCUGUCUCUGCUGGUGUGCUUCCCACUGUUCGUAUUUGAAGAGGUUUUGCAUCUUCCAGCUGUCAACAGCCAGAAUUACAGGUCCGGUUUUGUCCUUGUACAGGGGAGAAUGCUCAGAAAGUAAGUGACUGAAGUUGCAGCUUUGGAGAUCAGGAGAAGAGGAGGCAUCCUGCUAAGGUCUUUAUGGAAUCCUGCCCUGUUCUCCAUGCCCUGUCCUACAGAGACACUGGCCUUUUUCACCUGAGGAGAGAGAAUUUGCCCUGAAUCAUGAUGUUUCAAAGAAAAAAUAAAGGACAGACUUUAAAGCAGAAGGCUAAUCAGCAGAUGAGCUCUUCCAGUGGGAAUAAUUUUCGAGUACCAGAUGAUAGCACUUCCAGUGAAACAUCUUAAGAGGAAGGAAGGUCUGCAUACAAAUGGAUGUAACUGAUGACCUUGAUUUAACUCAUUCAUCUGACACAACAUCGGAGGAUGUCAAACUACCAGCGUCCACCUAGAGAGAGGCUGUGUUGCUCUUAGAGCAGCUUACUGUGGAUCAUACAGGUAGAAGAUGAGCGUGGUGAAACACAGAGACACCUCUCUCAGGAAAAGAGUGCCAGAGCCCUGCAAGAAGGCAUUUUGAACAAUCACCUUUGGAGACAAAAGGAACUAGAAGAAGAGACAGGAAGUGCUGUAGGAAAAAGUUCAGAUGAAUCCGACACUGAGAGAAAAAAGGAUCUGUUGUACAAAAAUCAGUUCCUGCAAGAUGAGAUUGCCAUGCUAAGACUAGAACUUGAUCAAAUAAGACUUAGGCACCAGGGGAAGAAGGAAAA